This 103-nucleotide small RNA is filed under the name Marmota monax (woodchuck). The record is from RNAcentral. Lineage: Eukaryota; Metazoa; Chordata; Mammalia; Rodentia; Sciuridae.
GCUGGGUGUGGUGGUGCACACCUGUGAUCCCAGCUUCCUGGGAAGCUGAGGCAGCAGGAUAGAGAGUUCAAAGCCAGCCUCAGCAAAUUAGACUCUGUCUCUA